RNAcentral lists this ribosomal RNA (333 nucleotides) under uncultured bacterium. RNAcentral describes it as "bacterial SSU rRNA". It matches the Rfam family "Bacterial small subunit ribosomal RNA", at positions 568 to 898 of the family's 1533-position model. The record is from RNAcentral.
UGUGUAGGCGACCGUGCAAGUCUGGUGUGAAAUCUUCACCGCUCACCGGGAAGGAGUCACUGGAUACUGCAUGGCUCGAGUAUGGUAGAGGCGAGCGGAAUUCCAGGUGUAGCGGUGGAAUGUGUAGAUAUCUGGAAGAACACCGGUGGCGAAGGCGGCUCGCUGGGCCAUCACUGACGCUGAGACACGAAAGCGUGGGGAGCAAACGGGAUUAGAUACCCCGGUAGUCCACGCUGUAAACGGUGCGCACUAGGUGUGGGGGGUAUCGACCCCCCCUGUGCCGACGCAAACGCAUUAAGUGCGCCGCCUGGGGAGUACGGCCGCAAGGUUGAA